This 892-nucleotide long non-coding RNA is filed under the name Homo sapiens (human). Its description in RNAcentral is "long non-coding RNA NONHSAT207504.1". Lineage: Eukaryota; Metazoa; Chordata; Mammalia; Primates; Hominidae. The record is from RNAcentral.
CUGCACCAUCCACUGGAAAAGUAGAAGCAGCGCUAAAUGAAAAUACUUGCAGAGCAGAGCGUGAACUACGAAGCAUUCCAGAAGACUCAGAGUUAAAUACAGUUACAUUGCCAAGAAAAGCAAGAAUGAAAGACCAGUUUGGCAAUUCUAUUAUCAACACACCUCUGAAACGUCGUAAAGUGUUUUCUCAAGAACCUCCAGAUGCUUUAGCUUUAAGCUGCCAAAGUUCCUUUGACAGUGUCAUUUUAAACUGUCGAAGUAUACGAGUAGGAACACUCUUCCGGCUGUUAAUAGAGCCUGUAAUUUUUUGUUUAGAUUUUAUCAAGAUACAGCUAGACGAACCAGACCAUGAUCCUGUAGAGAUUAUAUUAAAUACCUCUGAUCUAACUAAAUGUGAAUGGUGUAAUGUCCGAAAAUUACCUGUAGUGUUUCUUCAAGCAAUUCCAGCAGUUUAUCAAAAGCUGAGCAUCCAACUGCAAAUGAAUAAGGAGGAUAAAGUUUGGAAUGAUUGUAAAGGAGUAAAUAAAUUAACAAAAGCUAAUGGCAGACUUGUUGCCUGUACAAGAACCUAUGAAGAGAGCAUCAAAGGAAGUUGUGGGCAAAAGGAAAACAAAAUUAAAACUGUAUCAUUUGAAUCUAAAAUACAACUUAGAAGCAAACAAGAAUUUCAGUUUUUUGAUGAAGAAGAAGAAACUGGAGAAAACCACACCAUCUUCAUUGGCCCAGUAGAAAAGUUGAUAGUAUAUCCACCACCUCCAGCUAAGGGAGGCAUCUCUGUUACCAAUGAGGACCUGCACUGUCUAAAUGAAGGAGAAUUUUUAAAUGAUGUUAUUAUAGACUUUUAUUUGAAGUAAGUUAAUUUUCCACUGAUCUUUUAUUAAAUCUUUAACAU